Molecule: long non-coding RNA, 208 nt
Filed under: Manihot esculenta (cassava)
Lineage: Eukaryota; Viridiplantae; Streptophyta; Magnoliopsida; Malpighiales; Euphorbiaceae
Description: long non-coding RNA (MESC_LNC005539)
Source: RNAcentral
GAUGUGAUAUGUACGGUAUGGAAUGUAAGACCAGUGGGACCCAUUCUACGUUCGCUGGCACUAUGUAAGGGAAAGACCAGGACCCAUUCUACGUUCUGGCACAGUUAGACCAUGUAGAGGGCUAUUGGUGACAAGUUCAUCCUUGAUGUGAUUAGAUGUGAUGUGAUGCAUUCCAUGAUCCAUAUGAUUUAAAUGUUUUUAUUAUUCU